Molecule: ribosomal RNA, 477 nt
Filed under: uncultured anaerobic ammonium-oxidizing bacterium
Lineage: Bacteria
Description: bacterial SSU rRNA
Rfam family: Bacterial small subunit ribosomal RNA
Source: RNAcentral
UUCGCAAUGCCCGAAAGGGUGACGAAGCGACGCCGCGUGUGGGAAGAAGGCCUUCGGGUUGUAAACCACUGUCGGGAGUUAAGAAAUGCAAGGGUGCUAAUAGUAUCCUUGCUUGACUAAGGCUCCGGAGGAAGCCACGGCUAACUCUGUGCCAGCAGCCGCGGUAAUACAGAGGCGGCAAGCGUUGUUCGGAAUUAUUGGGCGUAAAGAGCACGUAGGCGGCUAUGUAAGUCGGUUGUGAAAGCCUUCCGCUCAACGGAAGAACAGCAUCCGAUACUGCAUGGCUUGAGUGCGGGAGGGGAGAGUAGAACUUCUGGUGGAGCGGUGAAAUGCGUAGAUAUCAGAAGGAACGCCGGCGGCGAAAGCGGCUCUCUGGCCCAUAACUGACGCUGAGUGUGCGAAAGCUAGGGGAGCAAACGGGAUUAGAUACCCCGGUAGUCCUAGCCGUAAACGAUGGGCACUAAGUAGAGGGGUUUU